RNAcentral lists this ribosomal RNA (428 nucleotides) under uncultured bacterium. RNAcentral describes it as "bacterial SSU rRNA". It matches the Rfam family "Bacterial small subunit ribosomal RNA", at positions 771 to 1196 of the family's 1533-position model. The record is from RNAcentral.
ACCUAAUAGAUACCCCGGUAGUCCACGCCCUAAACGAUGCGAACUGGAUGUUGGGUACAUUACGGUACUCAGUGUCGAAAGCUAAACGCGUUAAGUUCGCCGCCUGGGGAGUACGGUCGCAAGACUGAAACUCAAAGGAAUUGACGGGGGCCCGGCACAAGCGGUGGAGUAUGUGGUUUAAUUCGAUGCAACGCGAAGAACCUUACCUGGCCUUGACAUCUGUCGAAUCCUGCAGAGAUGCGGGAGUGCCGCAAGGAACGACAAGACAGGUGCUGCAUGGCUGUCGUCAGCUCGUGUCGUGAGAUGUUGGGUUAAGUCCCGCAACGAGCGCAACCCUUGUCCCUAGUUGCCAGCACAUCAUGGUGGGAACUCUAGGGAGACUGCCGGUGACAAACCGGAGGAAGGUGGGGAUGACGUCAAGUCCUCAU